RNAcentral lists this ribosomal RNA (424 nucleotides) under uncultured bacterium. Its description in RNAcentral is "bacterial SSU rRNA". It matches the Rfam family "Bacterial small subunit ribosomal RNA", at positions 355 to 776 of the family's 1533-position model. The record is from RNAcentral.
UGAGGAAUAUUGGUCAAUGGGCGAAAGCCUGAACCAGCCAUGCCGCGUGCAGGAUGACUGCCCUAUGGGUUGUAAACUGCUUUUGUAUAGGAAGAAACCCUCGAACGUGUUCAAGGUUGACGGUACUAUGCGAAUAAGGAUCGGCUAACUCCGUGCCAGCAGCCGCGGUAAUACGGAGGAUCCAAGCGUUAUCCGGAUUUAUUGGGUUUAAAGGGUGCGCAGGCGGACCUAUAAGUCAGUGGUGAAAGCCCGCAGCUUAACUGCGGAACUGCCAUUGAUACUGUUGGUCUUGAGUAUAUUUGGAGUAGGCGGAAUGUGACGUGUAGCGGUGAAAUGCUUAGAUAUGUCACAGAACACCAAUCGCGAAGGCAGCUUACUAAACUAUAACUGACGCUCAGGCACGAAAGCGUGGGGAUCAAACAGG